GAGUAGGCAGCCCAGGAGCCGGGAGCAAAAGACUUGGAGGCGUCGAAGGCUUGGCGGAGGCUGGACACGCGUCGACAUCGGUGAGUCACACCUUGCAAGGCGUGCAAGAGGGUUUGACCGGUUUGACCACAAAACCGGGGGGUGAGUCCAGUGCGGCCGGACAACGUCAAGUUGGAGGACGCGUGGCACCAUCACGAAGCUUGCGUUGAGGUGAAGCUAAG
RNAcentral lists this long non-coding RNA (221 nucleotides) under Setaria italica (foxtail millet). RNAcentral's name for it is "long non-coding RNA (SITA_LNC004980)". Lineage: Eukaryota; Viridiplantae; Streptophyta; Magnoliopsida; Poales; Poaceae. The record is from RNAcentral.